RNAcentral lists this ribosomal RNA (496 nucleotides) under uncultured bacterium. Its description in RNAcentral is "partial 16S ribosomal RNA". It matches the Rfam family "Bacterial small subunit ribosomal RNA", at positions 28 to 506 of the family's 1533-position model. The record is from RNAcentral.
GAUGAACGCUGGCGGCGUGCCUAAUACAUGCAAGUCGAGCGAACAGAUAAGGAGCUUGCUCCUUUGACGUUAGCGGCGGACGGGUGAGUUACACGUGGAUAACCUACCUAUAAGACUGGGAUAACUUCGGGAAACCGGAGCUAAUACCGGAUAACAUAUUGAACCGCAUGGUUCAAUAGUGAAAGGCGGCUUUGCUGUCACUUAUAGAUGGAUCCGCGCCGUAUUAGCUAGUUGGUAAGGUAACGGCUUACCAAGGCAACGAUACGUAGCCGACCUGAGAGGGUGAUCGGCCACACUGGAACUGAGACACGGUCCAGACUCCUACGGGAGGCAGCAGUAGGGAAUCUUCCGCAAUGGGCGAAAGCCUGACGGAGCAACGCCGCGUGAGUGAUGAAGGUCUUCGGAUCGUAAAACUCUGUUAUCAGGGAAGAACAAAUGUGUAAGUAACUGUGCACAUCUUGACGGUACCUGAGCAGAAAGCCACGGCUAACUACGU